Sebastes umbrosus (honeycomb rockfish) is the source of this 1130-nucleotide RNA transcript. RefSeq lists it as uncharacterized. NCBI's taxonomy places the organism in Eukaryota, Metazoa, Chordata, Actinopteri, Perciformes, Sebastidae. The transcript has 6 exons. The record is from RefSeq and is a predicted model, not a curated record.
AGUUCACAGUCCGCUCUCAAGUAUGGGAUGCUGAUAGGGGACUUCAUGUUGGCUGUCAAUAUCCUCCUCUCUGGAAACAACUAUGCGAAAGUGGCAUUACUGUUCAAAUUUAUGAACAUGGGGAUGGUGGGAAGGUCCACAUUUUUCAAAAUACAGGACACCUACUGUGUGGACACCAUAAAACAGUUCUGGGAAGAAAAGCGAGGAUUAGUUAUUUCCCAGCUAAAGCCCAAAGCCAGUGUCGUGGCCCUGGGAGAUGGUCGGAUGGACAGCCCUGGAUUCUGUGCACAGUACUGCACAUAUAGUGUGAUGGAGAAUGACUCUAAAGACAUCAUCUCCAUGGUGACAGUGGACAAACGUGAAACGGCGCGGAACAGUGUCAUCAUGGAGAAGGAAGCCUUCAUCCGGACUUUUGACACACUUCCCAAGGGCAUAUAUAAGUCAUGGGGAGUUCGCCAUACCCUUGACAUGUGGCACGGAUCGAAAAACCUUGGAAAGAAGAUCCACCAGGCGAGCCAGCAGAAGGGGUGCUCCAUUUUACUCAUUUGGAGCAAGGAUGUGUGUAACCACUUUUGGUUUUGUGCCAAAAUGUCGGCAACCUAUGACGACUUCUUUAUACCGGAAGCUGUACAACAAGAAGUCGCGGAAGUGGAGCCUGUACACAAUGAAGGUCGACAAGGACUAUGGCUACAUUCCUGACCUCCAGAGGGCCAUCCUCCGAAGCCGCACCACAGCAGACAGAGGCAUGCCGCGUGUGAGACGCCAGAGGCCUGAUGACCCGCGGCAGUAUGGUUUGCUAUGUGGUAUUCCACCUCCAACCACAGAGGAGCUACUGCACACACAAGUCAGUCGACGACAAGGCCAAGGACUACCUAAGUGAGCAGCCGCCCAUAGGAGAAGAUGUGACCCCUGCGACACCUCACCUGAGUCGACCCCACCUACACCCCUACUAUGGCCACCACUCAAAAAUACUGACCAGGGGUCAGACAUGUUCUAUAGGCCUAGCCCCACUGAAAGAUGGUGUACUUAUUUUUUAAUUUACCUUUUUCUAAACUUUUUUUUUGGUGUGUUAUGAAUGUUUGGGAUUGUCAUCUAUAUUUUUUAAUGUAAUAAAAGUGUUACCCAAGUGA